CGCAUCUGUGCAUGCAGCAUAUCAAUAAGCGGAGGAAAAGAAACUAACAAGGAUUCCCUUAGUAACGGCGAGUGAAGCGGGAAGAGCUCAAAUUUGAAAUCUUCAAGGUUUUACCUUGACGAAUUGUAGUUUAAAGAAGUGUUUUCUGUUGAAGUUUUGGUAAAAGUUCUUUGGAAUAGGACAUCAUAGAGGGUGAGAAUCCCGUAUUUGACCAUUAUUUUCAGCUGUGUGAUACACUUUCAAAGAGUCGGAUUGUUUGGGAAUGCAGUCCAAAAUGGGUGGUAAAUUUCAUCUAAAGCUAAAUAUUGGCGAGAGACCGAUAGCGAACAAGUACCGUGAGGGAAAGAUGAAAAGAACUUUGAAAAGAGAGUUAAACAGUACGUGAAAUUGUCAAAAGGGAAGCGUUUGACACCAGUGUUGUUUUCUCGAAAAUCAAUUAAAAAGAGUUAGAUUUUGUUGUGUAUUGACCUUAACAGCUUGCAUUUCAAUUUUCUUGCUUUUUUUAAUGCACUUUUCGUUUAACAAGUCAACAUCAGUUUCUUUUGUUGUAAAAAGGUCAUUGGAAGGUGGCUUUCUUUUCGGAGAAAGUGUUUAUAGCCUUUGACUCCUGCAAUCGGAGAGACUGAGGUCUGCAGCGUAGAUCCUUCGGGGUUAGAUACAUUUGUGCUAAGUUAUAGCUUUUUAUAGACAACUUGUUGACUAUGAUUAGUCUUGUAGCUUACUCGCUUAUGCUAUUUUACCUACGCUUAGGAUGUUGACGCGCGUGUGUGCGUG
This 774-nucleotide ribosomal RNA is filed under the name uncultured Neocallimastigales. RNAcentral describes it as "partial large subunit ribosomal RNA". It matches the Rfam family "Eukaryotic large subunit ribosomal RNA", at positions 26 to 639 of the family's 3401-position model. The record is from RNAcentral. Lineage: Eukaryota; Fungi; Neocallimastigomycota; Neocallimastigomycetes; Neocallimastigales.